GACGAACGCUGGCGGCGUGCUUAACACAUGCCAGUCGAGCGGAAAGGCCCUGCUUUUGUGGGGUGCUCGAGUGGCGAACGGGUGAGUAACACGUGAGUAACCUGCCCUUGACUUUGGGAUAACUUCAGGAAGCUGGGGCUAAUACCGGAUAGGAGCUCCUGCUGCAUGGUGGGGGUUGGAAAGUUUCGGCGGUUGGGGAUGGACUCGCGGCUUAUCAGCUUGUUGGUGGGGUAGUGGCUUACCAAGGCUUUGACGGGUAGCCGGCCUGAGAGGGUGACCGGCCACAUUGGGACUGAGAUACGGCCCAGACUCCUACGGGAGGCAGCAGUGGGGAAUAUUGCACAAUGGGCGGAAGCCUGAUGCAGCAACGCCGCGUGCGGGAUGACGGCCUUCGGGUUGUAAACCGCUUUCGCCUGUGACGAAGCGUGAGUGACGGUAAUGGGUAAAGAAGCACCGGCUAACUACGUG
RNAcentral lists this ribosomal RNA (468 nucleotides) under uncultured bacterium. RNAcentral describes it as "partial 16S ribosomal RNA". It matches the Rfam family "Bacterial small subunit ribosomal RNA", at positions 28 to 507 of the family's 1533-position model. The record is from RNAcentral.